UACGUAGGCAGCAAGCGUUGUUCGGAGUUACUGGGCGUAAAGAGUAUGUAGGCGGUGUUCUAAGUUCGGUGUGAAAUCUCCCGGCUCAACUGGGAGGGUGCGCCGAAGACUGGGAUGCUGGAGUCUCGGAGAGGAACGCGGAAUUCCUGGUGUAGCGGUGAAAUGCGUAGAUAUCGGGAGGAACACCAGUGGCGAAGGCGGCGAUCUGGGAAGAUACUGACGCUGAGGUGCGAAAGCGUGGGGAGCAAACAGG
Molecule: ribosomal RNA, 253 nt
Filed under: uncultured bacterium
Lineage: Bacteria
Description: partial 16S ribosomal RNA
Rfam family: Bacterial small subunit ribosomal RNA
Source: RNAcentral